UCACUUACCUGGAUGGGGUCAAUGGGUGAUCAAGAAGGUCCAUGGCCUAGGUUGGUGACCUCCAUUGCACUCAGGAGGGGUGCCUGCGUAAGGUCGGCCCAAGUGGUCGAGCCUACAUCAUAAUUUGUGGCAGUGGGGGCUUGCGUUCGCGCAGUCCCUGC
This 161-nucleotide small nuclear RNA is filed under the name Helianthus annuus (common sunflower). RNAcentral describes it as "U1 spliceosomal RNA". It matches the Rfam family "U1 spliceosomal RNA". From Rfam's summary of the family: U1 is a small nuclear RNA (snRNA) component of the spliceosome (involved in pre-mRNA splicing). Lineage: Eukaryota; Viridiplantae; Streptophyta; Magnoliopsida; Asterales; Asteraceae. The record is from RNAcentral.